UACAACCUACGGGGGGCAGCAGUGAGGAAUAUUGGUCAAUGGUCAGGAGACUGAACCAGCCACGCCGCGUGAGGGAUGAAGGUACAGAGUAUCGUAAACCUCUUUUGUCAGGGAACAAAGGCGGGGACGUGUCCCCGGAUGAGUGUACCUGAAGAAAAAGCAUCGGCUAACUCCGUGCCAGCAGCCGCGGUAAUACGGAGGAUGCGAGCGUUAUCCGGAUUUAUUGGGUUUAAAGGGUGCGCAGGCGGGCUGUUAAGU
This 258-nucleotide ribosomal RNA is filed under the name uncultured bacterium. Its description in RNAcentral is "partial 16S ribosomal RNA". It matches the Rfam family "Bacterial small subunit ribosomal RNA", at positions 334 to 588 of the family's 1533-position model. The record is from RNAcentral.